Vicugna pacos (alpaca) is the source of this 176-nucleotide non-coding RNA. Lineage: Eukaryota; Metazoa; Chordata; Mammalia; Artiodactyla; Camelidae. The record is from RefSeq and is a predicted model, not a curated record.
UUGAGAAAGCAAGGAGAUAAUUAGUUUUCAAUAAGAUGAGUAAUGUUCUAGAAAAGCUUUAGGCGUAACUAAUGUAACAUGUUGAACUCAGAAGAGUGUAACAGGGUUAAAAAGUGUGUUCAUGAAAAUUUUAUUGUGAGAUGAUUCAGUGGGGAAGAGGGUCAUGUAGGGAAAGA